RNAcentral lists this Y RNA (113 nucleotides) under Propithecus coquereli (Coquerel's sifaka). RNAcentral's name for it is "Y RNA (ENSPCOG00000010612.1)". It matches the Rfam family "Y RNA". Rfam says of the family: Y RNAs are components of the Ro ribonucleoprotein particle (Ro RNP), in association with Ro60 and La proteins. The Y RNAs and Ro60 and La proteins are well conserved, but the function of the Ro RNP is not known. The record is from Rfam by way of RNAcentral. Lineage: Eukaryota; Metazoa; Chordata; Mammalia; Primates; Indriidae.
AGUUGGUCCGAAGGUAGUGAGUUAUCUCAACUGAUUGCUCACAGUCAGUUACAGAUGGAAAUCCUUGCCCUACUCCUUCCUCCCUUCUCACUACUGCACUUGACUGGUCUUAA